GGAUAGCUCAGUCAGUAGAGCAUGCGAUUGUUAAUCUCAGGGUUGUGGGUUCGAGGUCCAUGUUGGGCA
This 69-nucleotide transfer RNA is filed under the name Podarcis lilfordi (Lilford's wall lizard). RNAcentral describes it as "tRNA.Asn". The record is from RNAcentral. Lineage: Eukaryota; Metazoa; Chordata; Lepidosauria; Squamata; Lacertidae.